RNAcentral lists this microRNA precursor (115 nucleotides) under Mus caroli (Ryukyu mouse). Its description in RNAcentral is "miRNA (MGP_CAROLIEiJ_G0007952.1)". Lineage: Eukaryota; Metazoa; Chordata; Mammalia; Rodentia; Muridae. The record is from RNAcentral.
CCUAAUAAAUUUGACUUCCAGAUAAAUACACAUUUUAAAUGUGUUAAGUAUAUCUCAUGUGAUAUUCGGGACACACUUAUGCUAAAUCUGUAGCAUGCAGUGUUUGGAGCGUAUA